Molecule: ribosomal RNA, 397 nt
Filed under: uncultured bacterium
Lineage: Bacteria
Description: partial 16S ribosomal RNA
Rfam family: Bacterial small subunit ribosomal RNA
Source: RNAcentral
AUACGUAGGUGGCAAGCGUUGUCCGGAAUUAUUGGGCGUAAAGCGCGCGCAGGUGGUUCCUUAAGUCUGAUGUGAAAGCCCCCGGCUCAACCGGGGAGGGUCAUUGGAAACUGGGGAACUUGAGUGCAGAAGAGGAUAGUGGAAUUCCAAGUGUAGCGGUGAAAUGCGUAGAGAUUUGGAGGAACACCAGUGGCGAAGGCGACUGUCUGGUCUGUAACUGACACUGAGGCGUGAAAGCGUGGGGAGCAAACAGGAUUAGAUACCCUGGUAGUCCACGCCGUAAACGAUGAGUGCUAAGUGUUGGGGGGUUUCCGCCCCUCAGUGCUGCAGCUAACGCAUUAAGCACUCCGCCUGGGGAGUACGGUCGCAAGACUGAAACUUAAAUGAAUUGGCGGGG